AGGGGACGGGCUGUUCUCGGCGGAGAAGGAGGACCGCGCCGCAGCCCGCGCUCCAGCUCCGCCGCCAGCCGGCUGAACACGAGCCCGGGGCGGCGACCCGGCCGAGAUGCCCCGGUCACCGCCGAGCCGAGCCAAGGCGUCAUCGACCGGUCCCUCUUUCCCCGGUCUCGGAGCCGUUUCGUUCCUGCUGGAAUGGGCCACCCGCUCUCCGGUCGCACAAGUGGCAUAGCCCCGGGCUCAGAGAGGUUGGGGAACUCUUCCCAGGCGGCGCAGCAGGCCCAGGGCUCCACUCCUGGCGGCCACAGUCAGCUCGGAAACAGAGGGUCCGCCGGGGAGGAAGCGGGCGCCUCCGCCUCCAGGGCCUCUCUCCCCGCGCUCAGGUUCGAUCCCUAGGCCUCGCCGACCCUGGUCCUGCGUACUGAGUCCGUUCCCACCGCAUCCCUCCAGCCCUCUCCCUGGGACAGAGCUGCGUCGUCUACACGGCCUGCCGACAGGAACCAGGGAGCCGGAGGAAAGCAAGCUCAAUCCCAGGGACCUUAGUCGAGGUGGGGGCGUCGGCCGCGGUUCCCCAGUACUUCGCUGUCCCCAGCCUCGUCCGACCCUGCCCCCGGGACCUUCGCCGGCCGGGCUCCUCGGCCUCUCUCGCGCGGCUGCGGCACCUCCCUCUCCCAGUCUGUUCCUUUCUUCCUCUCUGACCCUGAUUGCGCGUUUCCCACUGUCUCCCCCUGUCUCGCUGCGCCUUUGUCUCUGUCUCUGCCAUUCCUUGGUCUCUCCUCCGAUCUCUGCCGGCGAAGCUACCUCCGCCCCCGCCCCUGCAAAGGAACACACACCAGCAGAAUCCGCCUUUUCAAUAAAAAACGACAACUUGGAAACAGAGUGAAUUAAAAAGCAUUAACUUAAAAACAAUCCAUGUGUCUGCAAAUGCGUUCCAAAUGGCAACCUUGGAGGCGGGGGUGUCGGCCACAUGUUCUGGAGCCCCAGACACAAAGUGUAGGGGGCUCAGGGCGGGCGGUGGACCCCACCCGCUAACCACCUGGGACCACGGGGUUUCGGAAAAGGGAGUUCCAUGUCUACCACACUAUUGGGGACCCCCACCAGGUUCCCGGAUUUCUCCUGGAAUUCUGACAUCAGCUAGUCUUUCCCAGUCUUCCAAAGUCCCCAAACACUGACACCAUGCGCCAGCCCUCCCCACCCUCACCCACACAGCCCCACUCCC
Molecule: long non-coding RNA, 1216 nt
Filed under: Marmota monax (woodchuck)
Lineage: Eukaryota; Metazoa; Chordata; Mammalia; Rodentia; Sciuridae
Source: RNAcentral